CCUACGGGGAGGCAGCAGUGAGGAAUAUUGGACAAUGGGCGCAAGCCUGAUCCCACUACGCCGCGUGAGUGAAGAGGGCCUUAGGGUUGUAAAGCUCUUUCAGUGGGGAAGAUAAUGACGGUACCCACAGAAGACCCCCCGGCUUACUCCGUGCCAGCAGCCGCGGUAAU
RNAcentral lists this ribosomal RNA (170 nucleotides) under endosymbiont of Thyasira vulcolutre. RNAcentral's name for it is "partial 16S ribosomal RNA". It matches the Rfam family "Bacterial small subunit ribosomal RNA", at positions 338 to 524 of the family's 1533-position model. The record is from RNAcentral.